This 595-nucleotide ribosomal RNA is filed under the name uncultured Moraxella sp. RNAcentral's name for it is "bacterial SSU rRNA". It matches the Rfam family "Bacterial small subunit ribosomal RNA", at positions 262 to 849 of the family's 1533-position model. The record is from RNAcentral. Lineage: Bacteria; Pseudomonadati; Pseudomonadota; Gammaproteobacteria; Moraxellales; Moraxellaceae.
GGCCUACCAAGGCGACGAUCUGUAGCUGGUCUGAGAGGAUGAUCAGCCACACUGGGACUGAGACACGGCCCAGACUCCUACGGGAGGCAGCAGUGGGGAAUAUUGGACAAUGGGCGAAAGCCUGAUCCAGCCAUGCCGCGUGUGUGAAGAAGGCCUUUUGGUUGUAAAGCACUUUAAGUGGGGAGGAAAAGCUUAUGGUUAAUACCCAUAAGCCCUGACGUUACCCACAGAAUAAGCACCGGCUAACUCUGUGCCAGCAGCCGCGGUAAUACAGAGGGUGCAAGCGUUAAUCGGAAUUACUGGGCGUAAAGCGCGCGUAGGUGGUUAUUUAAGUCAGAUGUGAAAGCCCCGGGCUUAACCUGGGAACUGCAUCUGAUACUGGAUAACUAGAGUAGGUGAGAGGGGAGUAGAAUUCCAGGUGUAGCGGUGAAAUGCGUAGAGAUCUGGAGGAAUACCGAUGGCGAAGGCAGCUCCCUGGCAUCAUACUGACACUGAGGUGCGAAAGCGUGGGUAGCAAACAGGAUUAGAUACCCUGGUAGUCCACGCCGUAAACGAUGUCUACCAGUCGUUGGGUCUUUUAAAGACUUAGUGACGC